This 247-nucleotide ribosomal RNA is filed under the name uncultured bacterium. RNAcentral describes it as "partial 16S ribosomal RNA". It matches the Rfam family "Bacterial small subunit ribosomal RNA", at positions 84 to 334 of the family's 1533-position model. The record is from RNAcentral.
CUUCGGUUCUAGCGGCGGACGGGUGAGUAAUGCGUAGGAAGCUACCCGAUAGAGGGGGAUACCAGUUGGAAACGACUGUUAAUACCGCAUAAUGUCUACGGACCAAAGUGUGGGACCUUCGGGCCACAUGCUAUCGGAUGCGCCUACGUGGGAUUAGCUAGUUGGUGAGGUAAUGGCUCACCAAGGCGACGAUCCCUAGCUGGUUUGAGAGGAUGAUCAGCCACACUGGAACUGAGACACGGUCCAG